This is a long non-coding RNA of Lolium perenne, 1206 nucleotides long. RefSeq lists it as uncharacterized. The record is from RefSeq and is a predicted model, not a curated record. Lineage: Eukaryota; Viridiplantae; Streptophyta; Magnoliopsida; Poales; Poaceae.
UCCUCGCUGUGUUCGCUCCCACCGACGAGACAGGCGGCGCCCCGCCACCAAGGCCGGAACCAUAUCGGCGCGGCCGGCUUGCUCGCCGGCGCGCACGUGCAACGAUGCGCGGCGCUCCGCCGAGCUCGCCUGACCGCGUCGGGCGCGUUGCCCAUGCCGCGCGAUGAGGCUGCUGGACGCCGGCGAGGCCCUGCCGGCCAUUAGAGCUGCGAUGCAUCUCCGGUCCCUCCCCCCGGCGAAGGCGCUUCCUUCGCCAUGCUCCAUCGGGGCGGCCAGCUUCAUCGCCACACGCAGCCCGGGGUUGCCAUCCUCGACAGAGCGCCCUCCUCUGCGGCAGCAACUCCGCUCCGUCCUGGCCGUGUCCUACGACAUGCUCGCCGGGAACAAGUCCAAGCCCGCCGGACCAGGACUUGGUGAAGAAGUACUCUGAGUUGAGUUCAUCAGUUUCCCCAUUUACUUUGUGCGCAAACAAGGCGUUUUGGGUGAAGGUGUUGCUGCUAAGCUUGAAAUCCAGAUUAAGUUGGACACGGAGAACAAGAUUCUGUCCAUUCGGGUUAGGGGUGUUGGUAUGACCAAGGAAGAUCUGAUUAAGAAGCUUGAAACCAUUGUGAAAUCUGUAACUUCAGGUUGCCCUGUUCUUGGACCGGUUGUGGGUAGGUAGCUGCUUGGGCGCGCAGCCGGAGUGGUGGUGUAGGUGUUGCUGCCUUAGGUGUGGCCCUGGUGAAGUGAAGGUGGUUGAGGCUGUGGCGGCCAGAUGGACAUGAUCUUUUCAAUUUUGGGCCAUGGUUGCUGUAUCUAGGGAUUUGUGUUGGUCAGGUUCAGUUGUGGCUACUGGAGCAAUUGUUUUAUAUUUCCCUUCCAUGAAGCAAGCGGAGUUGAGAAUCCAGAAAGUUGGUCGUCCAUUUGGGCAAGUAAAAUGUUACUAAUUCAGCAUUGGAGUGGUAGGUUGUGUAAAAAGAUGAAGAUGGUGGCCCAUUUUUCUUUUUACUGUAUCGUGGUGAUGGUGGCUGGCCGUUAGAGUCUGUUAUAAUUGGUUUGCAGAUAAGGAUUAGAGUUUGCAAGUAAUUGGCCCCGUUGUGCUUGUAGCCAGGCUUGUCACUUGUUUACCGCGCAUGAUCAUAGUUGUGAUCACACAGUUGCAAUUUUGUUGUCUAGUAAUUCGCGAUGCGAAUGUCCAGAAUGUGGUGCCAAAAUUUUGAAUUUGAU